AGACAAAACUAAAGAAAUAAAGGAUGGAUUUAUUGUUCAUAUUUUUUAAAUAAUGUUUAUACAUGUUCUAAUUUUAAAUUUUUAUUAAUUUCUGAAGAACGCCAUGAUCAGAGCUGUUUUUCUUGUGUGUUUUGGGUUUCGUAAUAACGGAGAUGGAAUGUAAAUGCACAGUUUAUGCAACUGAAAGAGCAAAAAGUUGGGCUAAGAGACUAAAUAUCCUAUGACAAUUAUGUUGCAUAUCGAGGCUGAGAAAAGAGCACAACACUGCAGACAACAGUACUGUACCAGACAGCACAUUACUCUCAGCUUGGCAUCAGUGCAGUUCCUCCAGUGCACAGCUGUACUGAAACUAAACAGAGAUGGCACAAACCCCGAACAAGGUGCCAUUAGUGAGAUGUCCAAGACAUGCAUUGUUGGUGGACCUCCAGUAACAGGAGGCCUUUAAUCACCCCCCGGAGCCGUGUGAUGGACGUUUUAUUAUGGAUGCGCGCACUUUAUUUCUCGUCUUCUGAACUGUUUACAAUCCCAUUGAAAGGCUUGGAGGCCCAGGACCAUUUUUAUGCGUCCUAUAUAACAACAGGUUUAAUGCAUCUAAG
Cyprinus carpio carpio is the source of this 596-nucleotide long non-coding RNA. Lineage: Eukaryota; Metazoa; Chordata; Actinopteri; Cypriniformes; Cyprinidae. The record is from Ensembl.